AAAGGAAUUGACGGGGGCCCGCACAAGCAGCGGAGCAUGUGGUUUAAUUCGAAGCAACGCGAAGAACCUUACCUAGACUUGACAUCUCCUGAAUUACCCUUAAUCGGGGAAGUUCCUUCGGGAACAGGAAGACAGGUGGUGCAUGGUUGUCGUCAGCUCGUGUCGUGAGAUGUUGGGUUAAGUCCCGCAACGAGCGCAACCCUUAUUGUUAGUUGCUACCAUUUAGUUGAGCACUCUAGCGAGACUGCCCGGGUUAACCGGGAGGAAGGUGGGGAUGACGUCAAAUCAUCAUGCCCCUUAUGUCUAGGGCUACACACGUGCUACAAUGGCCGGUACAACGAGAUGCUAAACCGUGAGGUGGAGCAAAACUAUAAAACCGGUCUCAGUUCGGAUUGUAGGCUGAAACUCGCCUACAUGAAGCUGGAGUUGCUAGUAAUCGCGAAUCAGAAUGUCGCGGUGAAUACGUUCCCGGGCCUUGUACACACCGCCCGU
This 492-nucleotide ribosomal RNA is filed under the name uncultured bacterium. RNAcentral describes it as "bacterial SSU rRNA". It matches the Rfam family "Bacterial small subunit ribosomal RNA", at positions 903 to 1397 of the family's 1533-position model. The record is from RNAcentral.